Long non-coding RNA from Microtus oregoni (creeping vole), 149 nucleotides. RefSeq lists it as uncharacterized. The transcript is spliced from 3 exons. Lineage: Eukaryota; Metazoa; Chordata; Mammalia; Rodentia; Cricetidae. The record is from RefSeq and is a predicted model, not a curated record.
UUUGGUUCUCAACCCCACACAAGGGACCUGUGCACCAAUGUUGAAGACAGAGGACAACUUGAAGGUCGUCCUCGGGAAAACUGUCUAUCUCCUUUAAGACAGAGACCCACAUUGGAGCACCAGACUGAAAUCUCAAGAUCCAAAUCAGG